UCGCUACGUACUAAAGCAUAGCCCGCCUGUCCCAAAAACUUGUAUCAGCCACCAGUCUGCGCUGCCGACGAAUAACGUAUUGAGGGAUAAUGGGUAAAAGCUUUAUCACAACAAUUGACUCCAAAUCAGUUUAUCUGUGAGAAGCACUUUCCGAAGAAGAUAUUAAGAAAGCAAGUUCCAAUAGUGCAAAAUGACAUUAAUAACUGACCAAUCGAAAACCUGGAUUAUACACAACCUUCGUUAAA
Long non-coding RNA from Melitaea cinxia (Glanville fritillary), 245 nucleotides. RefSeq lists it as uncharacterized. The record is from RefSeq and is a predicted model, not a curated record. Lineage: Eukaryota; Metazoa; Arthropoda; Insecta; Lepidoptera; Nymphalidae. The transcript is spliced from 3 exons.